GGUUUAUGCCUGUUUUUUAGUUGGUACGUUUUAACAAUGUGUACCGGAUUAUAGUAGACAAAAAUACCCUUAUUUAUCAUGGAUUCUAAGUUUUAAGGUCAAGGAUAUUUAAAUAAUUUUCAUUCUCAAAACUAAAAAAAAAAAAAGAAACCCCCAAACCCUUACUCACCUCCCUCAUUCCUCUCAACCCUUUCUCUUUCAUCUCUCCACUCCAACAUUUUCUCUGUCAUCUCUCUCACUCCAACAUUUUCUCUGUCAUCCCUACUGUUGCCCUAAUUGAAAAAAAAAAUCAAAAACCCUUUGUCAUCAAGAUAUUUUCUCUCUCAUCUCAACAUUUUCUCUCAAC
Molecule: long non-coding RNA, 346 nt
Filed under: Vigna radiata
Lineage: Eukaryota; Viridiplantae; Streptophyta; Magnoliopsida; Fabales; Fabaceae
Description: long non-coding RNA (VRAD_LNC001570)
Source: RNAcentral